Molecule: long non-coding RNA, 382 nt
Filed under: Musa acuminata (dwarf banana)
Lineage: Eukaryota; Viridiplantae; Streptophyta; Magnoliopsida; Zingiberales; Musaceae
Description: long non-coding RNA (MACU_LNC003650)
Source: RNAcentral
UGGCGGCGGCGGCAUCCUCGACGUGGCCACCGGCCGGCCGGCCACGCCCUUCGACUUCGGCGCCGGCCACGUGGAUCCACCCAAGGCUCUGGACCCCGGCCUCGUCUACGACCUCACCGUUGACGACUACCUCGACUUCCUCUGCGCCCUGAACUACACGACCCUCCAGAUCGCGAGCGUCUCCAGGCGAUCCAACUUCAACUGCGACAACAAGAAGGCCUACGCGGUGUCGGACCUCAACUACCCCUCCUUCGCGGUGGCGUUCGCGACGGCGAGCGGCGCGGGCGGCGGAGGUUCGGCCGCGACGACGGUGAAGCACACCAGGACGCUGACCAACGUCGGGGCGCCGGGCACAUACAAGGCGACGGUGUCGGCGCCGCAG